RNAcentral lists this transfer RNA (74 nucleotides) under Dendronephthya gigantea. RNAcentral describes it as "tRNA-Ile". It matches the Rfam family "tRNA". From Rfam's summary of the family: Transfer RNA (tRNA) molecules are approximately 80 nucleotides in length. Their secondary structure includes four short double-helical elements and three loops (D, anti-codon, and T loops). The record is from RNAcentral. Lineage: Eukaryota; Metazoa; Cnidaria; Anthozoa; Malacalcyonacea; Nephtheidae.
GCUCUCGUGGCCCAGUUGGUUAAUGCGUCGUACUUAUAAUGCGAAGGUCGAGGGUUCGAUCCCCUCCGGGAGCA